RNAcentral lists this ribosomal RNA (253 nucleotides) under uncultured bacterium. RNAcentral's name for it is "partial 16S ribosomal RNA". It matches the Rfam family "Bacterial small subunit ribosomal RNA", at positions 524 to 776 of the family's 1533-position model. The record is from RNAcentral.
UACAGAGGUGGCAAGCGUUGUUCGGAAUUACUGGGCGUAAAGGGCGCGUAGGCGGCCUUCUAAGUCAGACGUGAAAUCCCCCGGCUUAACCUGGGAUCUGCGUCUGAUACUGGGAGGCUUGAGUAUGGGAGAGGGAUGUAGAAUUCCAGGUGUAGCGGUGAAAUGCGUAGAUAUCUGGAGGAAUACCGGUGGCGAAGGCGGCAUCCUGGACCAUAACUGACGCUGAGGCGCGAAAGCUAGGGGAGCAAACGGG